Molecule: long non-coding RNA, 13589 nt
Filed under: Equus asinus (donkey)
Lineage: Eukaryota; Metazoa; Chordata; Mammalia; Perissodactyla; Equidae
Description: lncRNA (ENSEASG00005023694.1)
Source: RNAcentral
CUGAGCUGCGCUGGGCUGAGCUGAUGAGGCACGAGGCUGCAGGAGCCAGGUCCUGGGAAGCACCUCACGCGAGUCAAAAGCAAAGGGACAGCCGUCUCACCUCCUUCCCUUAGAGAUCUGUUCCUCCCCCUCAAGGCCCUGGGGUUGAUUCCAGUGGGGCUGCCAACCACAGAUUCCUGACCCCCGGCCACAAGAGGAUGAUGCAACCUAAGCCUGAGCCAUCAUACAGCCCCACCCCCAGCCUGGAGCCUGAAUGAGGGGACUGAUCAAAGCUGGGCCAAUCAGCUGGGACUUCUACACAGGAAAGCAGGGGAGGGGAGAGAAGCCUUCUCAUUGCCUGGGCACAGCUGAGCUGAAUAAUAUAAGCCAGGAGCUUCUGGUGGCCAUGCCUCCUGUGCCUGUCCUCGCAAGGAUGAAGUCAUCCCCAGUAAGAGAAAAUGAGGCCUGAGCACAGAGAAAAGUCAAGACGAGUGAUGGAGGUAACAGGAUGUGCAAUGGGACUGUUCCUGUUGUCCGGGAAUUCCAGCUAAAGGUCAGAGGCGAGGACAAAGAGGCUCUAAGCCAAGAAGCACACCACCUGCUGAAGCGAGCUGCCCACCAUGGCACACACUGCCUACCCGGGCUCACUAAAAGGUGACCUGCUGUCCCCAUCGCUCCUUCCUAAUCUGUACGAGAUGACUUGGGAAGGAGAAAAAGGGGAGACGGAGGCAGAAUCAUCUGUCCUGCGGGGAGGGCAGUGUUUGUGGUGAGAGGUGACCUUCCCCUAAGCCAAAUACUGGGACACUCUGGGGGUUCUGCCCAGAGAGGGGGCCCUGAGGGAAGGGGAGACUCGCCUUCUGUUCCCUGGUUGGCUAUUAUUUUCUAAUGUGCCCUUGGACUUACCGAAGGAAGGUGGAGGAGAAUGGGCACUGUUUCAGGAUGGGAAUGAGGCAAAGGGAGAGCUCCCUGCACUCCUACUGUUGCCCUGACAAGAAGGGAAGAAUUUCCAUUCGGGCUAAGUGGACAUCGUGGACGGUAGCUGGGCUUGGGCCCACAGGUCCUCCAGAGGACUCACCAGCAUUUGAAUGUCUGCCUCAGAGGGGGAGUCAGUCACUGUGAGCCCGAAACACAGUAACAGCGGGCCUAGAAAGGACGGCAGCUGUGGCCAGGUGGGUAAAGAUACUCUCGUCCAGUUUCCUCUCCUUCUGCCCACCCCAAACACACCAGUGAGCUUUGAAGCCAGAUACCCGAGGGUUACCAUAGAAAUGUGGAUGAAGACAGUGGGGACUGAAGUCAGGUUUCUGAGGGUUACUGUAGAUAUUCAAUGUGAACAUGAUUGCCUUUCACAAUUUGCUAUUUUCUUGUUUGAGCUGAGGGGUGACUCAGGGGUCAUGAGGACCUGUGAGCCUGUUUUGCUGAAGAGAGAACGCCUUCAGGGAGGUUGUGAUGACAGGAUGAUCAGCCCCCCAGUGGCUGUUGACGCCCAGAAGUCAGAUUGCCCAGGAGCUUCUCUACAGUGAAAGAAAUACGGACUUACCCUUCGUUUCUCCAAAACUCCUCCUGCCAAGCCCCUUGGCUCUGUAAAACGCCCUGCUUUCUUCUCUGGUUAAGGCAGAUUUAAGAGAACCUCUCCUCCCGCCUUCUUGUUUUGGUGAAUUCAAAUAAACCUUUCUCCGUCUCCAUGCAGGGAGGGCUCAGCGACUGACCUACUGCGCGUGGGUGUGUGAACUGGAGACUAAGAGGUUCCCUAUGGAGCGGGGCCUUGAAGAAGGGAGGGAGGGAUAGCUCAGAACCUGAUCACGCUCCUUCCCCAGCUUCAUUGCUAGCAGUCAGGAUUCCAGUUCAAGACCGCUCCAUGGAGGGCAGGGGAAAAGGGAGAAGAGGUUUUAAUCAUUUGAGAUUGAAGUCUAAAAGUAGACUGGACCUUUAAGAACCAGGAAGGGGAGUCUUCCUGUGUCUGGCCGGGCCUGUCUGCCCCCAGGGAGCGUUUCCCACCGCUUCCGACUCUGCCCUGCAGUGGGGAGGGGCCGGAUCCCCUGAGGCUGUGCUGCCCAGGCCCACAGGCCCGACUACCUGGCUUCUGGCUCCUUUGGUAGGUGAGGGACUGCAAGCAGGAGGAAGGGAGGAGUCAGGCAUUUUCCUUCCAUUCUCUCCAUCUCCAGUGCAGUUGCUGGCUGCCGGCUCUUCUUCUCUUCUGCCUCCAGGCUCAGUGCGGUCCAGCUUUUGCUGUUUGAGCCUCGCCUCUGGGCUGUGGGAACACGUCUUCCUCCAUUUGCCCCUCUGUUGAUAAUAUCUGGAUAGUCUUACUGUGCCCUGUUCAGCUUCUCAGCUUUUCCAUCACUUGUGUAACUUAUCAUCUGCAUCAAAUUCCCUCUGUUUCAAAUAUUUAAAGUGCUUUUUGUCUUUUGAGCGGACCUUAACUCAUCUAUUUCCCCAGAGGUUUAUAAGGGUCUAUGCUGUAAAGGACGCUGCUAUAAAUAUCGCAGAGUCGGGGAUAGCAUUUGUAAGAAAUCAAAUAGUUUUAUAUUAAUACCUUCAUCAAGACAUUUCAAUAGACUAGUUACAAACACCCCAACUCAAAUGUCAUCUCUUCAGAAGGGUAUCUCAGCAUCCCUCACCCCAGUCGCAUCCCAUUACCUUAUUUUGUGUUUUUUAAAGCCGUUUUCAGUACCUGAAUUCAUCUUAUCUAUUUAUUUGUGUCCAUGUGUAUUAUCUCCCUCCCCUCCCACUGGAAGAUAAGAUCCUUGAGGCCAGUAACUCUUGCUGUAUCCCUAUGCGCUCAAUAAUUAAUAACUGACCGGCCAGCAUCAGGACCUGGUGAAAUGGAGUAUGCGCCAUCCUGAGACGCUCCACCAGCAGCAGCGGGAUGUGAUAGUUGUAUGUCUCUUGGUUGUCAAAUCUUGAGGGGGUGAGAUCGUUUUUAUUGUAUGUAAGUUAAAGCAUUCUUGGAAUUGUAUACAUGGGAGAGAGAGAGAGAGGAAAAGAGAUACAGAGAGAGAGAGAGACACAGAGAGAGACAGCGUGUAAUACCCACAAGGGGGAAUGUAAUGGGCAGAUUUUAUUUUCACUCGCCGAUUUACCAUUUUUUCCUUCUGUAGCAUCCUCCUUUUUUUUGAGGAAUUGCUCCUAUCCCACCCAUAAAAAUAGCUAAGAAUGCAGAAUUUGUGGAGGUGUGUAGAUUUUUUUAUAAUCUUUUAAAUUUCAUUUGUGGUUAGACUCUUCAGAUUUUCUGUUUAUUUUGGCCUCUGUUUAGAUCACUACAUUUCCACAGAACAUCAUCUACUAUACAUAUAUUUUAAAAUUCACACUAGUAAAUUGUAUACAGAAUCUUUUCAAUUUUAAAAUGACUCCUGUGUCGGUGGUUUAUGGCCUUUUGCAUUAUAAUUUUGUACCUAUGUGUUUUUCUUUCUUUUGCUGGAGGUCAGCUUGCCAGACUUGCUAGAGGUCUGCUUAGAUUUGCUUGUUUUCAAAUACCCAGCUCUUUGUUUUAUUUAUCAGUUUUACCAUGUUUUGUAAACUUUGAUUAAUUCAUUUUUACUUUUUAUCUUCAUUAAUUUUUUCUCCUUCUGAUAGAGGAUCAAAGAUAUUAAGAUGUCACAUUUACUGUUGCUGCCAUGACUGAAGCCGAAAAGCAGCACAGAACCGUGCGGAGGGUGGGCCCUGACUUGGACCUGCCUCUAAGGAAGGGGUGAGCCUGGACUGCUGAGUGGGGGUGUAGGAGCUGCCUCUGUGUCUGCACCUUUAGCAGCCCUCUAGCCCAUCUCUGACUUCAGCCACGGCUGUGGUAGGCAGUUUCACUCUGCUUUUGCUGCUGGUGUUCCACCUGCAGACUCAUGCCACUUGUCUUUCUCCAUUCCACACUCAGACCUUCUCCCAAUGCCCGGAAGCUUUCUGGGCUGGCUUGCAAGCCCAGCUCAGAAGUGCAGAGGAGUUAAUACCCUAUAGGCAACCCUCAACCAACACAGAACGGUGGCUGAUGGACAAAUGCUCCAGCCUCCAGUCCAACAGGUGGACACUUUCGGGAGAUAUUCUGCACACUUCUCAGAGGUCCUGGUGGAAUUGAACUCCCACCGCUGACAGUAGUGACCUCAACAAUGCAUCCAUAGAUGAACUCUCCCCUUCUCUGUCUCACUCCCCCUGUCCCUUCACUCCUGCUUCCUGGGAUCACCUGUACCAAGUCUUGUCUCAGGCUCUGCUUUGGGGGACACUACAGUCUGGGAAAUGUUUGAUGUGGACACAAGCAGGACUAAUGGUGGAACUUCUAAGUUAGCCUCCCUCCUGCAUGUGGGAUGCCUUGAAGAAAGCUGCAGCGUAGAUGAAAAGGAAACGCUAUACCGUCUAACAGCUGGGACACCGGAGACCACGCGGUUCUGCUGCAGGCCCCAUAACCACCGAGGACACUAUGAGAAGCAGCACCCUUCCUCGAGCUCUGAGAAAGCACCCCUGCUUGGACCGACUGAGACCUGUGUCAGCGACAGCUGGGGCGGUGUGGGUGACAGGACUACCAGAACAGGGUGAUCCUGUCAGAGCCCCUCUCUUCAGGACUGCCAUGCCUUCAGCACAGCUCUCAGCAGCUCCAGCUCUCCACUAACAGCCAAUGGAGCGCCGACCAACACCUGGCAAGUGAAUCUGGCUGCGGGGACAUCCCUAAGGUCCCCUCCCCCAGCAGGUGUCCACAGAGCAACGCUGAGUAGGACUGAUUCCUGGGCAAAUGUAAGCAACCCUGGAAUAUUUGAAGGUAGAAUUAUUGAAAAAUAUUUGACCAAGACAAGGAUUGGACUUUGUGCUAAUUUGACACCUAGCAGAUCAGAGCUGUAAUUGAGGCUUAAAAAGAAACGUGAACCCAUUUUAUCAUCACAAGUUGGUAAAGUCAGGAAUGUAUUUUACAACCACUUUAUCAACAUUUACUCCAACAUUUCCCAAAACUCAUUCAUUUGCCUAGUAUCUAACAACUUACUAUCUGUACUAUUCGUUACUUAAUAUUUUUCUUUAAACCAAAACACUUUUUCAAACUUAAAUAUCCAAGUAAGCUUCAUACUGAAUGAAAAUAAAUGUGGAAUUAUGGAUCUGGUGCUACUUAUAUUUUUCUAACACAUAUGAAAACAAGCACAUAACUAUUAGAAAAAUCACCUCAAUUUAUAUGUGGUAUGCAUAUUUCACAUUGGGAAACAUCGAUUAGCCAUGACUAUAAGUUUUCCUGACUUUGUUUCUCAUUAGAUUGCUAAGGUAUUACAAUGCUUUUUGCUUUCUGAGAUCUUAAUUCUCCGUGAAUUUUCCUUUGGUCAUAAUUGUUCCGCAAAGGUUGUUUCUCAGAAAGAGUACUUUCGAUACUUGACAUUCCUGAAAGUAUCUCUCUUUUGUUCUCAGUUUGCCUACUGCAAAAUUUUAAUAUCAUAAUUCUCAAUCUACAGGAUUAUUUACAUAUUGCCCCAUUGUCUUCUAAUUUUUAACAUUGCAAAUGAGAACUCCAACGCCAGUUUGAAUCUCUUUCUGUAGGAAAGUUUAUAGGAUUUUUACAUUAUCCUUGAAAUUCAGAAAUUUUACCAGCUAUGUCCUUGGGUGGAAUUUUUGCAGCAAUUCUGCCCAGGACUCAGUGAACCACUUCAAUCCAUAGAUAAAACAUUUUUCAGCUCAGGAAAUUUUCUUUCGUUAUUUUGUUAAUUGACACUUCACUUCUACCCAUCGUUCUUACUUAUUCUAAGACUCCUGUUAUAUGAAUAUUGGAACAUUAUAUCCAUCUCUCUCUCUCUCUCUCUUUUUUUUUUUUUGAAGAUUAGCCCUGAGCUAACAUCUGCUGCCAAUCCUCCUCUUUUUUGCCGAGGAAGACUGGCCCUGAGCUGAUAUCCGUGCCCAUCUUCCUCUACCUCAUAUGUGGGAACCCCGCUACAGCCUGGCCUGUCAGGUGGUGCUUAGGUCCACACCGGGGAUGUGAACAGAUGAACCCCAGGCCUCUGAAGCAGAACGUGCAAACUUAACUGCUAUAUCACCCGGCUGGCCCCACCUCUCUCUUAUUUUUUAUCUCAUGAAUUUAUCUUUUUGUCUUUGUUCUGAGAAGAUUGUAUUAAUUCUUGUGAGUUUAUCUGAUAAUGCACUCAGUCAGUUUUCCAUAGUAUAUAUGCAUUUCUGUUUUAUUUUGGGGCACAUACAAUCAUGUAUUUUAUUUUCAAGGACUGUUUCUUGUUCUCCAUUUCAUGCUUUUCUUCUCCUCUAACAAUUCACUGAGAUACAAAUGCUGAUGAGGAUUUUAGGCUGGGUAAUUUUAAAAAACUGCAGAUGAGAAGCAGGCUCUGAGGACUGGAAUUUGCUUGCUCUUUGAGAGAUAUUUGCAUUUAUGAGGGAAGGGGGGAUGACCUUGUAGGGACCUGAAAUUGGCCACCCCAGGAUGUGUCUCUUUGGCAUCGGGAUUGUUUUGGGCUGAUCGCUUUCGAUAAACUGGGACAGGGAAGGAGGCUCUGGGGAAUGGAACUUGCCCUUCUUGGGACACAUUUAUGUUUGUAAGGUAAAUCUCUAUCUGUAAAAGGUGCCUCCCUCUCUGUACCAGGAAGAAGAAGGGAGAUGACCUUGUCCCUAGAAACUCUUAAUGGGGAAGGCAAGAACUUAAGUUGGUUGCUGUCUGGCAAUCUCAUGUAACUGAUUUAGGGUGGUGGCUUCUAACCUUUCUAACCUUUACUUAAUCCGAUUUGAUUCUUGUCUAAAAGUCAUGGAUCACCCAAUGACCAGACCCCACCUGCACUGAUACCAUUGUAACUUUUGUUCAUGUUCUUUCCUUUGUCUUGUAAAGAGAUGACUCACAUGCCCAUGCCUUAUAAAAUUAGCCCUAACCCUCAACUCGGGGCAGCAGCAGCGGCUCUGCCUGCCCAUGGGCCCUGUCCCCAUGCUAUUCCACACUAUUCUCUAAAUACAAGAGCACUACUGCCAGAUCUUGAGAGUCCAAGAAAUCUUUCUUUCGACUCCUCGGCUCACCGACCCCGCAUCAAUGCGAACUUUUUAAAAGUUAGCUCCUGCUGUCUGUAAUAUUUCUUUUUAAUUGGCUCUGAUUGGUCUGCUGGUUCUCGUUUUGAGGCUGCUUAAUCUCUUCAGAUGACUAACUGGUGCUUGUUGUUAUUCACUGAUAUUUAUAAAUACGACAGCCUAUAUUGAAAGGGAUUGAGAGCUCUUCUGAGCGCUGGCAGCAGAUGCACAGGUCACUAGGAGCUCUCCUCGCUGCUCCCAGCCCAUCUUUGCCUCCAGCCCCUGCUGGCAGUCACGUGGGCAUCAGCAUCAGGACAGAUGCACAGGCAGGCCCUGCUUUUGCUGUGGUUGUCAGAUAUCCAGUCAUACUGGGUUCACAUCUUCCAGAAAGUUCUUGAGGUUUCUGUCUAGUUGAUGUUCUUCCUUUUAACAGUAGUGUUUCAGGGCUUUUUUCCCCCUUAUUUUUAUUGUUUUCAUUAUUUCAGUAAGAUUUGGGAAGUUAUUGUAAGCUCAGAUUGUUAACUUGAAAUGAAGCCUGCGUGACUUCCCAUUAGAUUGAGUCAGAUAUGUGGGUUCUGCAGCACCAGCCCAUAGACCUCCAACUUCCCAUUGCUAGAGUCUACACCUCUUGGCCUGAGAGCUUUUCCUGGCAGCCUGAGCCCACUCUGCCUGGGCAUGGCGGGUCAGAAGUACCGGAAUUUAAUGCACUCCUGCCUUUCAGCGACUGGUGGGAGUUGGUGUAUAAAUAUCAUGGCUUCCCAGGCUCCUGGAUGGGAAACUCUGAGGUGCUCACUCCGCACCGGCUCCCAGAGUUCCCGAGAGGAGAGUGUGAUCUGCUCACCGACAUCAGUGGUGGCCAGAUGCCCCCUUUAAAGCCUGCCCUCCCUUCUCUGUCUCACUUCCCCACCUCACUACCCCUCCUGGUUUGUCCUGGGAUCACGUCCCACAUAAACUACUUACAAAUGAAUCCUCAUCUAAGGGGAACCCAAAUCAAAACAUCAACAGAGUGUGGCAGGCUUUUUAGAAAGUUCUUCCUUCUGGUGUGGAGAGGGAACUGGAAGGGAGAAGCUGGAGGCCAGGGGAUCAGCACGGAGGUGUGAGCAGCAGGCCCACAGAAGGUCAGAGAGGAGCCAGCUCCCCUUCGUCUCAAAGGAAGACCAGCACAUGCAGCCAAGCAAGAGCGUGCUGAGAUAUUUUUUAAGUAUUUUGACAUUUACAAGAGUAGAAGUGACCAUGAUGGAAAUAUCCAGACUUUGCUGAACUUCCUAGCACUUCCUUUAUUUAUUUUAUUAUUUGUUUUUAUUGUUGCUGUUGUUACUAUUACCAAGGAAGCGCUCAAUCAAUAUUUGUUGAAUGAAUGAAUAAAUAAACGACUCCUAGGCUUCUGGUUGGCUGGUGGUACCAUUCACUGAGAGAAGGACCAGAGGAAAAGGAGCGAGUCCGGAAGGAGAGGUAGGGUGGGCAGUCUCCUCUAGGAACAUACCAGAUAACAGGGCACUUCAGAGCCUGCUUGGAACUCAGGGUGCAGGGCAGGCUUAGGCAGGGGGACAAUCAGACUAUAUCACAGUCAUUGUGGCAUGUGCUCCUGUCAAUCAGAAGGAAUCCAGCCCCAGUGCCAGAGCUGAAUCCUGGAGCCCCUAUGGAGCCAGAUGAUAACAUCUUAGCUGUUGGAUUACAAGGAGGAUGAGCAGAGGGGCAGGGCAGCCAGGGUCUUGGGACAGUGGAUAUUCACCAACAAUAGGUUCAGCUGCACCAGUGUGUACAGACUGAGCCAGAGCCCCGGCUUGGAGACAGGCAGAGAAACCAGGCAGACUGGAAGACACCAUCCGGCAAGGCUGGAGAAAGGACCCCCAGCUCCUCCCAAGAGACGACUGUGCAGGCCAAGGAUAGUGAGCACUUUCUGGAUGCUUACUCAGGGUCAGAACCCCAUUCCUAAGGCUUCCAACAAAUCAGCUCAGUGGAGAACAGUUUCCAUUACUAUCUAUUUUACAGAUAAAGAAACUGAGCUGCAGGGAAGGGUUCAAUGUAGGGGACAAUUUUUGGUAACCUGGAGAUUUUCAGUAACUUGCCUAUGAUUACACGGCUAGUACGUGGCAGAGCCAAAAUUCAAACCCAGACAAAGAGCUGUCUACACUUGACUUCCCUGUAAGUUGGGAUUCAAGGUGGAAGGCAAAGGGGGAGAUCAGUCAGGGCCGAUCAAAGAGCUUUGAGGAGUCUCAGUGGUGUCUUGGUGACCCAGGAGCUCAAGGAGUUACACAGAAAGGUUCUUCAGCUGCUAAGUAGGCAGGGAUUACUCACAUAUACUUGCCCCAACUGGUAAGGUCUCCGAGGAGUUGGGGGAGAAGAUAUAGACGAGAUUUGAAACAGUCCGUGGCAUUAGAAUGGACUUGGUGGAUUCGAAAAGUGGGAGCAUCAUUUACCUCUGUAUCUCCAAAUCCAAACAUAGUCUUGCGUACGAAGUCAUUAUUCAAGAAAUAUUUCUGAGUGGAUGAAUCAAAAAACAAAAGAUCUGCUUGCUCUUUCUCAAACAUGGCCCUGAUUACAUCUCUCACCUUUUAAAACCUUCCUAAGGCGGCCCACCAGUUGCAGGAUAAAGUCCAAAAGCCUUAUCCUAGAAUUCAAGGCUGGUGUGAUCUCUCCUCUGUCUAUCAUCCACCACUACAUCCCCCACACUCAGCCCUUCCCUGCUGCUGUGUGUGGCAGAUUCUAUUUUUCUGGUGUUCUUAACCUCCUGAGCUCCCAUUUUCUGGUCAUUGCAAAUGCCCUCACAUUUGGGUGGAGUAAUUGUUCCUUCCAUAUAUCUCAUCUCAGGUAGGGCUGCCGAUCACAGCCAUGGGCACACAACACAAGUGGGACCAAUUAGAAUCCCUUUCAGGAAUUAAUAUAAUCCCAAAGGGGAGCGGAAGACUUCUAUUUCCUCUGUGGCCACUCUCUGGGGUGGCGGAGCGAUGGAAGCCUGGAGUUGUCUGCAAAUAACUCCUUGGUUGGAGGCAAGCAAGUCAUAUACAGAGAAAAGCAGAAGCAAGACAGAGAGAGAGAGGGAGAGAACAGACUAAGCGACCACGCAGCUUGAGUCUCUUGCAUUCCUUGCCCUUCCUAGUUUCAUGAGCCAAUAUAUUCUUUUUUUUUUUUAGCUUAUGAAUUUAACUUGUGUUUCCCUUAUUGACUGAUACUUAGCUGCUCUGCAUUGCUGACACUUCCCUGAAUUCCAUAUUGUCUCCUACUUGCACUUCCUACAGGUCUAAGCAACAUAGUUCAAGCCAUAUAGAGUCCAGAGUGUGUGCGGAUUCUCAGGGUGGCUCUUGUGAUCCAUUCUCCUUGUUUUCUUGGUUCUUCUUUAGGCAUCACCAUGUGGCCACGUCCAGGUUGGCAGAGAGCAUCCCCUGGACCUCCUCCUUCAUGCUCUGUCUCCCCCACCUCCCAUACCUUCUCAGUCCCUUUGCUCCUUUGUGCCUUUCAAAGUCCACCUCCUCGUGGGGCCUGGCCCCUUGAUAUGAGUUGAUAUGGGACAGCUGCUCCUGUCCUCCUUGUUCUGCUUCUGGAUGGGGGAUCUUGGCUGCUUCAGGCUUCAGAACUUGAGGGUCUUCAAUAUGGACUCAGAGAAAGUACCUAAAGACCUCUAACACUGUAAGGAUUAACCACAUGUGGAAUAUCUUCCCUCACUUAUUAAUGUUCCCUGACACCAUUAGUCAUCGUUACAGCCUUAAGGUACAUUCAGGACUUCCAAAGAGGGGUGCAAUGGAGGCCUGGAGACCUUUCCGGCAUCGUGUUCCAACUGUGUGACAAGAUCCAGGUGUUAAACACACCAGAUGUUCAGAGGAGGAAGCAUGACAAAAAAGUAGGCAGGUUCAGGGGAACGGGGGAUAUCCCAGAGGAAGCAGAGUCAGCAUUGGCUGUUGGCAAGAGGGCACAGGUGGACCUAGAGUGGUUAAGGCUUUCCCAAGAUGGGGCAGGGCAUGGACGACAGCCUGGCAGAGGGGCCUGGGUGGCUCACUUAAGUAACCAUGAGGACAUCAGGCUGGUGACCUUGGCAAGUGACAGGAAAGCCGAUGUUCAGUGAAAGGUCUUGAAUGCCAGGCCCAAGGUUUCACUGUCACUCUCAGUCUGAACGGGGCUGUGGCUGACUCAGGGCCCCUUCUGGGAGAGCCGGUUGGUUAUGGCCUCCUCCGCUGCACAAAGAGGACUGAGAAGCCUGGGCGUGAACCUCAACCCCCCGCCUGCAGGGAGCAAAGGGGUCUCUCCCUGAACCAUCCCCUCUACCUGCCCCUUCUGUGACCAGAGCCGUGGUAGGCUCUGACUAAAAUGGACAGCAGCUUCACUUCACGACCUCAGGACCAGAGAAGGGGGAACCCCUUCCCUCAGUUCCGGUCCAUGCCAGGCAGCCCCUCCCCCAGUCACUCUGUGGGUGGGCUGGCUCUCAACAAUCCACCUCUGGGGCUUUCCGCCCUAUAACGGUCUUCAUUCCACGACUCAUUAGAAAGAUUCUCUCUGCUCUUCCAUUUAGGAAGCCCCUAAGUGGAGCUUCUGGCUGCCUGCUUUUUUUCUCCUCAAUUUCCUUCCUACCUCAGGGACUCUCAGGGUGGACUCACUUGCCAAGUUUCUGGGCCCGGCCAGCUGAAUGGGAGGAAGUAUCCCAGCAUGCCCCUUGCCUGGUGAUUCUGUUUCUCCUGGAGGGUCAAGCCAAGAGCCAGAGAGUCACACACGAGGAGCUGGCAGGGAGCAGAUAGGCAGCCUCACGCAGUGGUUCCUUGAAAAGAUUCUGGGCAUUGCAGCAAGACUGACCCUGGGUCUGAAACCAGCCCCACGCUCCCCAGCCGUGUGACCUGGAACAAGUGACUUCCUGAGCCUCAACUUUUUUUGUUGUUCAUUUGUCAAGUGGAGAUAAAAAUACCUACCUUGCAGGUUAUGGGGAAAGGUAAAUAGGACAUAUAGUGAUGUCAGUAACUGGCAGCUGAUAUUAGGCUUAUUUUAUCCCAACCUCCCCGAGAGAAAAAGGCAGACUUGUCCAAAAUCAUGCACUGAGACUGUCAGAGUUCAUCCUGUCUCCCACUCUGGGUUCUUCUGCCCUGCCCAGGCUGCCCCCACCAAGUGGGAGACAACAGGCAGGAGCAGAUGAGCAUGAUGGGAAAAUCUUCCUGCUCUCUGAUCAUCUCCUGCGGGCUAUACAAGUAGCGGUGACAGGGUCAGCAAACCCGCCCCAGGGCCACUUCCACAUCAGCGGUGGAGGACAAAGGAACUAGGGGGAAAAAGUCAGACAGAAGAAAGCGCCUGGAAAAGAUGUUUUUAUGUUCACUUACAUGGAAAAAAAAAAUCAAAGUAUACAGCCUGAAGAUAUACGUGUCUCAGAAAAUUCGUGCUCAUGAACCUGCUUGUCCAAUCGCAGUGAUAAUUCAAGAGUUGCCAAAUGGAAGUCACAAAAUCCGGGGUGGGGGCGGCGGGAAGGGCCGCCAAGGGACAGGUGGGAAUUAUGUGCUACUUCUUUUCUAGUUUCAGAUAAUUUGGAGUUUAAACUUUUCCAGCAAGUCAAAGUUAUAUAAACAGAUGCCAUACUAAAAUAUGAUUGUGUAAAAAUAUAAAACUCCUAGAGCAUGAUGGCAAUAAUAUUUUAGGAAAAAAAAACAUCGAAGUCUGGUAGUAUCAGAAAAUACAAAUAGGAUCAUUUGAGCAGUUCUGUUUCUCUGCAUGAACAGCAGUUGCAAAUGAUAGAUGUGUAUCAAAGAAUAAAGCAGUCUGCACAUAACUUAGCAAGGGGGAACGUUUCUAAACCGAGACUUUGCGUGAAAACAUGAAGGAUGUCUUACACUCAACAACGAUGGUUAAAAGGAGGAAGUUACUUUCUGAAGGAUGCAGUGGGUGGAAUGCCAAGGCCUUUGUUUCCAAAUCGCUCUGAACUGUGUGGGAUGUGUUCACACUGCCCGGGGUUUCCUGCAGAAUCUAGCACCAAUAUAUGGAUCAGAUUUUAUCCUUUAUCUGAGUCCUUUACGUCUUCAGUUUUGAGUGUACUGAGGUAUGUUUCCUUUGGUUGCUGUUGUGACGAAUGUGUAAUAAAAAACUAAUAUUUACAACAUUUAAACAUUUUAGAUUUCAGUGUCAACUUUUCACGUCAGAAAAAUUGGGAAACUCUUUAGGAAUCGUCAGAAGGUCAUUACUUCCUAGCGUCUGUCAUGAAACUGUUUUCGAUACACAGAACGAUGAGCCUAUUAGCGCAGCUGUACGUUUUCUGGUCCAGGAUCUUCCCCGUGCUCAGCGGGGAGGCCAGCCCCGUGACUGCCGUGUCGGCGGUUCGCCACGCUUCACAGUACUUAUCCACAAGACGCACGCCACGGGGGCUGGAGCCGUGCCAAACGGCCUUCUGGGGCCUAAAAGGGAAUUUUGCGACAUUACUUUUGGGAAGGACACUGCUUUGCGGCAUAUCUCAGUGAGCAAAUCGGCAUAAGUCUAGCGAAUCCAGUCAAACUCCCGAACCCUCCACGGUCUGACCCACAGCAACUCUCCAUCCUCUUGGCUCUUUCCAACCAGCUGAACGUGCUAUAUUCAACCACACUCAGCUUGCACGUGUUCUCACAUCAUCCUCCCCGCUUUCCUGAAUCUGAACCUUUGCCCCCGAGGCCCCUUAAUCUGGAGUGGCCUCUCUUUCAUUUUCAGACCAGCGAUUCCUU